This 479-nucleotide ribosomal RNA is filed under the name uncultured bacterium. RNAcentral's name for it is "partial 16S ribosomal RNA". It matches the Rfam family "Bacterial small subunit ribosomal RNA", at positions 28 to 507 of the family's 1533-position model. The record is from RNAcentral.
GAUGAACGCUAGCGGGGUGCCUAACACAUGCAAGUCGAGGGGUAUGAUUCUUUCGUGGAUCGGAGACCGGCUCACGGGUGCGUAACGCGUAUGUAAGUAACCUCAUUCACUGGGAUAGCUCUUCGAAGGGAGCAUUAGUACCUACUAACUCUAAUGUGGUCAUCCAUUUUGGUUGAAGGAUUUAUUGGACUGGGAUGGAGAUGCGUCAGAUUAGCUAGUUGGAGAGGUAACGGCUGACCAAGGCAAGGAUCAGUAGGGGGCCUGCGUGGGUGCCCCCCCAGACUGGGACUGAGCCACGGACCAGACUGCUACGGGAGGGAGCAGUGAGGAAGAUAGGACAGGGGGUGAGAGCCUGAUCCAGCGAUCCCGGGUGCAGGAAGGCGGCGCUAUGGGUUGUGAACUGCUUUUGGAAGGGAAUAAACGACCGUACGCGUAGGGUGUUGAAGGUACCAGACGAAUAAGCACCGGCUAACUACGUG